CCCUCUACCACAUACGCACCAAUGGCAGCGCUCUCUGUACCAGGUACCCUCCUCCCCCUCUACCACAUACGCACCAAUGGCAGCGCUCUCUGUACCAGGUACCCUCCUCCCCUCUACCACAUACGCACCAAUGGCAGCGCUCUCUGUACCAGGUACCCUCCUCCCCCUCUACCACAUACGCACCAAUGGCAGCGCUCUCUGUACCAGGUUCCCUCCUCCCCUCUACCACAUACGCACCAAUGGCAGCGCUCUCUGUACCAGGUACCCUCCUCCCCCUCUACCACAUACGCACCAAUGGCAGCGCUCUCUGUACCAGGUACCCCUCCUCCCUCUACCACAUACGCACCAAUGGCAGCGCUCUCUGUACCAGGUACCCUCCUCCCCCUCUACCACAUACGCACCAAUGGCAGCGCUCUCUGUACCAGGUACCCUCCUCCCCCUCUACCA
RNAcentral lists this long non-coding RNA (447 nucleotides) under Salmo salar (Atlantic salmon). Its description in RNAcentral is "lncRNA (ENSSSAG00000092069.1)". The record is from RNAcentral. Lineage: Eukaryota; Metazoa; Chordata; Actinopteri; Salmoniformes; Salmonidae.